CUACGGGUGGCUCCAGUGAGGAAUAUUGGUCAAUGGGCGCAAGCCUGAACCAGCCAUCCCGCGUGAAGGAAGACUGUACUAUGUAUUGUAAACUUCUUUUCUGCAAGAAGAACGUGUCCUACGCGUAGGACAGUGACGGUAUUGCAGGAAUAAGCAUCGGCUAACUCCGUGCCAGCAGCCGCGGUAAUACGGAGGAUGCGAGCGUUAUCCGGGUUCAUUGGGUUUAAAGGGUGCGUAGGCGGCCUGUUAAGUCAGUGGUGAAAGUUUGCGGCUCAACCGUAAAAUUGCCAUUGAUACUGACAGGCUUGAAUCCACGUGAAGUAGGCGGAAUGUGCAGUGUAGCGGUGAAAUGCUUAGAUAUUGCACAGAACACCGAUUGCGAAGGCAGCUUACUAAAGUGGUAUUGACGCUGAUGCACGAAAGCGUGGGGAUCGAACAGGAUUAGAUACCCCCGUAGUC
This 459-nucleotide ribosomal RNA is filed under the name uncultured bacterium. RNAcentral describes it as "partial 16S ribosomal RNA". It matches the Rfam family "Bacterial small subunit ribosomal RNA", at positions 339 to 795 of the family's 1533-position model. The record is from RNAcentral.